GCAACUCGCCUACACGAAGUCGGAAUCGCUAGUAAUCGCGGAUCAGCAAGCCGCGGUGAAUACGUUCCCGGGCCUUGUACACACCGCCCGUCACACCAUGAGAGUCGAUAACACCCGAAGCCUGUAGUCUAACAGCAAUGAGGACGCAGUCGAAGGUGGGAUUGAUAAUUAGGGUGAAGUCGUAACAAGGUAUC
RNAcentral lists this ribosomal RNA (194 nucleotides) under uncultured bacterium. RNAcentral describes it as "partial 16S ribosomal RNA". It matches the Rfam family "Bacterial small subunit ribosomal RNA", at positions 1307 to 1500 of the family's 1533-position model. The record is from RNAcentral.